GGAAGGUGUGAAGCGGUGAGUUUCCAGCCAGGAAGAAGCCUCUCAGCCGUGGGCGUCUUUGCCCGGAGCUGUGAGUAGGGCAGGUGGUUAAGAGCUGGUUUUAUGAGUGGACACCCAGGCCAUGGGCCCUGACCCCCAGGCAGCUGCCCAGCAAAGGCGGGCUGCAGGCUCUGAGAGGACCCGGGCUAAAAAUGAAGAGAAUGUUCCAGAUAUUCAAACCUCUGGUUAGUUCUGUUUGGGGAGCAGACUUCCAGCGUUCUUUCCUGGGAGAUAUGGAAAUGAGC
Molecule: long non-coding RNA, 284 nt
Filed under: Rhinopithecus bieti (black snub-nosed monkey)
Lineage: Eukaryota; Metazoa; Chordata; Mammalia; Primates; Cercopithecidae
Description: lncRNA (ENSRBIG00000046386.1)
Source: RNAcentral